CAGGAGGCUCGGGUUCAAUUCCCGGUACGG
RNAcentral lists this small RNA (30 nucleotides) under Bombyx mori (domestic silkworm). RNAcentral describes it as "ovarian small RNA-13293". Lineage: Eukaryota; Metazoa; Arthropoda; Insecta; Lepidoptera; Bombycidae. The record is from RNAcentral.